GGGCGCUCCAAGUAGGAAGAUAAGCGGGAUUGCUGGAAGCGGGAGAGUCGGGAGGAGCGGCGAAGGGCUCCUCUUCCCCAUUGGCUGCGCCCACGGAGCAGCCUCGUUGCGAUUGGCCGUACGCGGGGGGCGGCAGUCCCGCGUCGGCCCGCCCCUCGGGCCGCGAGAGGCGCCGGGAUCGCGGGCGCCGGCUGAGCCAGCGGCUCUUGGGAGGCUGCGUCCGCGCGCCGGCGAGGCGAGGCGGCCGGGCCCUGCGCGUCAGGCCUGAGACCUGGGAGGAAGCUGGAGAAAAGAUGCCCUCUGAAUCUUUCUGUUUGGCUGCCCAGGCUCGCCUCGACUCCAAAUGGUUGAAAACAGAUAUACAGGUAUUGAGUGUUGGUAGAUAUGAGAGUCCAGUGUUUAGAGCUGUGUUGCGUGGCCGGGCGCAGUGGCUCACGCCUGUAAUCCCGGCAGUUUGGGAGGCCGAGGCGGGUGGAUGCCCUGAGGUCAGGAGUUGGAGACCAGCCUGACCAACAUGGUGAAACCCCGUCUCUACUAAAAAUACAAAAUUAGCCAGGCGUGGUGGUGUAUGCCUGUAAUCCCAGCCACUCGGGAGGCUGAGGCAGGAGAAUCGCUUGAACCCGGGAGGUGGAGGUUGCAAUGGGUCAAGAUCAUGCCAUUGCACUCCAGCCUGGACAAUGAGAGCAAAACUGUUUCAAAAAAAAAAAAGCUGUUGUGGAUGAUGGGAUUGUUAUUCAUAGUGUAAUGUUACAUAAGACAGAGUACAGAGAAUUGGGUCAAGAAUUGGUGUAGUUACUCUUUGGGUUUGUUUCUCUUUAAACAUUUCCUUUGAUUUAGCUAUAAUGAUCUGUUUUGUCAUUUUAAGUGGAUGGGAGAGGUGAGAGAUGAGUACUUUCAUAUUUCUGAAAUCCUGAGAUUCAGGCAAAGUUUUAAUAAUUGUUUUAUAUUAGUGUUUAUGUAUUUUGAGAAACUUUUUGGAGUAAAGGACUUUACGUAAUAAAGUGUUUUUCUUAAUAAUUGUAAUUUAAUAACUGCUAAACAUGAGUUCUAGUGUCUUGAUCUAAAACCAGUUUAAUGCUGAAUUGAGUUCCUAUGAUGGGUUGGGCAGAUAAACAUACAGUGAAGCACCAUUUAUAUCUUAGAGGGCCUGUUGUUUUGAUUUAUUAAGUUUAAUACACAGUACUUGGUCCUUGUUACACAUUUCCAAUAUGAUUAGAAAGUCUUUUUUUUUUUUUUUU
Molecule: long non-coding RNA, 1238 nt
Organism: Homo sapiens (human)
Lineage: Eukaryota; Metazoa; Chordata; Mammalia; Primates; Hominidae
Exons: 3
Source: RefSeq, a predicted model, not a curated record